GACAGAGGGUGCAAACGUUGUUCGGAAUUACUGGGCGUAAAGCGCGUGUAGGCGGCUUCGCAAGUCGGAUGUGAAAUCCCACGGCUCAACCGUGGAAGUGCAUUCGAAACUGCAAGGCUAGAGUUCUGGAGAGGAAGGUGGAAUGCUUGGUGUAGAGGUGAAAUUCGUAGAUAUCAAGCGGAACACCGGUGGCGAAGGCGGGUCUCUGGGCCAUAACUGACGCUGAGGAGCGAAAGCGU
This 239-nucleotide ribosomal RNA is filed under the name uncultured bacterium. RNAcentral describes it as "partial 16S ribosomal RNA". It matches the Rfam family "Bacterial small subunit ribosomal RNA", at positions 524 to 762 of the family's 1533-position model. The record is from RNAcentral.